AUUCUUGACUUCAGCAGCACACAUACUAUCACAGAGUAAGACAGAGCAUUAGCAUGGACCCUGUUCAAGGCUGACACACAAACUCAUGAAGCAGUCCAGAUUUAA
This 105-nucleotide small nuclear RNA is filed under the name Meriones unguiculatus (Mongolian gerbil). Lineage: Eukaryota; Metazoa; Chordata; Mammalia; Rodentia; Muridae. The record is from RNAcentral.